This is a non-coding RNA of Paramuricea clavata, 477 nucleotides long. NCBI's taxonomy places the organism in Eukaryota, Metazoa, Cnidaria, Anthozoa, Malacalcyonacea, Plexauridae. The record is from the annotation of a GenBank genome assembly.
GUCCACCAGACGAGUACAAGUCCUUGCCCGUGGCAGAGUUAUGUUUGAAUAAACUACGUCUCACUGAAUCACAUAUCGGUACUUGAGCGAACAUAUUCCUUUGUCCACCAGAAGAGUAAAAAGCGCUUGCCCGCGGUAGAGUUAUAUUUUGAAAAUCUUUCAAUGUUACUCUGUCGACAUCUCAGAGUAAAAUAAGUUAUUUUGCAUGAACUCGUGCAUGUUAUGUGCCAAUUAGGAUGGGCUGUGUUGUGCCCUAUGAUUGGUCAAAGCACAGAACAGAGUCGUACAAGGUUUUCAAUUGGUUCACAGUGUGUUUCACGGUUUGUUCACGUGAAUGUGUGCUAGCUGGCAGAAGAUGAUCUUUGACCCAUCUGUCAAGACCUUUGACCUAACUGUCAAAGAUUAGGUUGAUAUAAACCAUAUCUACCUCCUCAUCUUACCAUCACACCUUGUCUCAUUAACUUAAAUUUAUAUAUG